Molecule: ribosomal RNA, 413 nt
Filed under: uncultured eukaryote
Lineage: Eukaryota
Description: eukaryotic LSU rRNA
Rfam family: Eukaryotic large subunit ribosomal RNA
Source: RNAcentral
GAACGGGCAAGGAGCCGGGGUCGCCCGAUCGGACCCCGGACGUGAAGUCGACGAUGGUCGGUGGGCUGGUUUUGGUAAGCAGAACGGGCGAUUCGGGAUGAACCGGAAGCGGGGAGAAAGGGCCCGAGAUUGCGUCGACGCGGAUCCCGAAAAGGGCGUCGAUCCGUCGCGACAGCGGGACGGUGGUCAUGGAAGUCGAAAUCCGCUAAGAAGCGUGUAAAAACGUACCCGCCCAACGGAUCGGCCCCGAAAAUUGAUGGCGCUCGAACGCAACCCUCGAACCCCGCCGACGGAGGCUAGGGGAGGCCCCGUCGAGUAGGCGGACGCGCGGGUCGCUUCGACGCUCUCGCGCGAGCGGGGGCGGAGCGGCCCGUGGUGCAGAUCUUGGUGGUAGUAGCGAUCACCCAGGCGAG